AAAGCCUUAAGUUAAAUUAAAACUAAUAUCCUUCAAAGCUAAAAAUAAAGAAUCUCUUUAGGCUUUA
RNAcentral lists this transfer RNA (67 nucleotides) under Sigmella digitalis. RNAcentral describes it as "tRNA-Trp". The record is from RNAcentral. Lineage: Eukaryota; Metazoa; Arthropoda; Insecta; Blattodea; Blattellidae.